RNAcentral lists this ribosomal RNA (956 nucleotides) under uncultured Bacillota bacterium. RNAcentral describes it as "bacterial SSU rRNA". It matches the Rfam family "Bacterial small subunit ribosomal RNA", at positions 1 to 917 of the family's 1533-position model. The record is from RNAcentral. Lineage: Bacteria; Bacillati; Bacillota.
UGGAUCCAGACUUUGAUUAUGGCUCAGGACGAACGCUGGCGGCGUGCCUAAUACAUGCAAGUCGAGCGAGCUUGCCUAGAUGAUUUUAGUGCUUGCACUAAAUGAAACUAGAUACAAGCGAGCGGCGGACGGGUGAGUAACACGUGGGUAACCUGCCCAAGAGACUGGGAUAACACCUGGAAACAGAUGCUAAUACCGGAUAACAACACUAGACGCAUGUCUAGAGUUUGAAAGAUGGUUCUGCUAUCACUCUUGGAUGGACCUGCGGUGCAUUAGCUAGUUGGUAAGGUAACGGCUUACCAAGGCAAUGAUGCAUAGCCGAGUUGAGAGACUGAUCGGCCACAUUGGGACUGAGACACGGCCCAAACUCCUACGGGAGGCAGCAGUAGGGAAUCUUCCACAAUGGACGAAAGUCUGAUGGAGCAACGCCGCGUGAGUGAAGAAGGGUUUCGGCUCGUAAAGCUCUGUUGGUAGUGAAGAAAGAUAGAGGUAGUAACUGGCCUUUAUUUGACGGUAAUUACUUAGAAAGUCACGGCUAACUACGUGCCAGCAGCCGCGGUAAUACGUAGGUGGCAAGCGUUGUCCGGAUUUAUUGGGCGUAAAGCGAGUGCAGGCGGUUCAAUAAGUCUGAUGUGAAAGCCUUCGGCUCAACCGGAGAAUUGCAUCAGGAACUGUUGAACUUGAGUGCAGAAGAGGAGAGUGGAACUCCAUGUGUAGCGGUGGAAUGCGUAGAUAUAUGGAAGAACACCAGUGGCGAAGGCGGCCCUCUGGUCUGCAACUGACGCUGAGGCUCGAGAGCAUGGGUAGCGAACAGGAUUAGAUACCCUGUAGUCCAUGCCGUAAACGAUGAGUGCUAAGUGUUGGGAGGUUUCCGCCUCUCAGUGCUGCAGCUAACGCAUUAAGCACUCCGCCUGGGGAGUACGACCGCAAGGUUGCAACGGAAAUGAAUUGACGGA